Non-coding RNA from Marmota flaviventris (yellow-bellied marmot), 1853 nucleotides. The record is from RefSeq and is a predicted model, not a curated record. NCBI's taxonomy places the organism in Eukaryota, Metazoa, Chordata, Mammalia, Rodentia, Sciuridae.
UCCAGCCCGUCAUCGAGCGGCUCCUGGAUCGAGGCCUCCUUAUUCCACAAACUCUCCCUGCGACACUCCGACACUCGGGUCCUACCUGUCCGCACACCGUCAGGAGCACGCGGCUUAGUGCAGGAUCUCCAUUGAGUCCACGAAGUGGUUCCUCCCUUCAUCCAGGGGUCCCAGCCCUUACACCCCCCUCUCCCUCUUACCUCCCCGGCAGGCUGACUUCACUCAACAGGGCCACUCCACAAGCUCGACAUGGUCCUCCUCACACCUCAAGGGGGCCUGCGACCCAAGGUCCCCCCUCAUCAGGUGCGAGGACACCAACCAGGUGAGGAUUGGCAGGCAGAUCUCACUCACACGCCCAGACACGGAAAGUUCUGACACCUACUACCCUGGCUGACACCUUCUCAGGAUGGACUGGGCCUUCCCGACCUCCCGAGGGACCCGGACACUGUGGCCUCAGUCCUCAUUGAGCAGAUCACCCCAGGUCCGGCCUCCCGACGUCCAUCCAGUCACACAGUGACUGCCUUCACUCCUCAGACAGUCCAGAGGCCUCAGACAGCCUAACAGCUCCUGGGACUCCACGUUCCUUACAGGACACAGUCCCCGGCCUCCUCCGGGAACUUAUGGACCAUCACCUUCUGAGGGUCCACUCCAACCAGGAGACUCUGUCCUCUUAAAGGAACUCCCUCCUCGGUCACUCCAACCGUGCUGGACGGGACCCCAUACGGUGCCCCGACCUGAACGGUGCUGCCUCAUCCCUACCUGGCGUUUCCAGGCACAGGGGACCUAGAUGGUGAGACCUGGACAUCAGGACCAGCGAUUGCCAACCUGAAAGAAAUCCUCAGAAAGAAACUGCCCUCACUCACCGACUAGGGGCCCCCGAGGCAGAGAAGGGGACCCGUUUUCAUGGCUGCGUCAGGGGCUACAACUCCUAGGGUCAGUGGUAUUUCUGAUUGCUUUCUGUGUGCUGCUCUGGAUCAUCCCCCUUAAUGGCAGUCCCUCUGACCUUUCCCCUUAACAAUUCCCACGGGGGUGUCACCUCUCUGCCUCUGUCGGGGAUCCCCCUCUCUGACAGUCCCCUGCAGCAGCGGCAAAACCUUUCCACCUGCUGAGCCUCCCAAGCUGCCCCCAGGUGCAGCGUGACCACUGCGGGGUCCUCCCCAGUCCGUGCACCCCGGGAUUCUUCCUUUGGUGGGACGGGGUGCUGAGAAAGCCAUCCACUCCUCUACUGCUGCUCCUUCCUGCACCCUGUCACCUGGAUCCUCCACUGACACUCUGGGCAGGCGGAGUUCCUCUCCCUGAGCCUCCACCCACCAGAUCUGGACGGGCUGCCUUUCUUCCAGGCAUUUCCCUUACCUCGUCCCUGGUGGCCUGGGGCAUCGGAGCCGGGCAUUGGGCCAUAGCUUAACCACAACUAAAGAGCUUGAAACAUCACAGCUGGCAUGGAAGCCUCUGCCCGCUCCCUGGCAUCUCUCCAAAGACAAAGAACGUGGCUUGUGCUGGUCACUUUCCAAAACAGGCGGCGGGCCCUAGACCUACUCAGCGCUGACAGAGGAGGAACCUGUCUGUUCUCGGGGACGAAGGUUGCCAUUACUCGACGGAGCGGCCUAGUAGAGGGAAACAGGGACACGCUGCAUCGGCUGAGUGAAGAACCGAAUCUCAGGGUCCACCUCGCUCCUCCCAGGCUGGUGGAGCUCUGCCCUGGCCGCCACUUGGUUUGGUCCCAUUGUGGGCUGCCCCCCUGAUCUGUGUCUUGCUAAUUUCUGCUCCUUGUCCCCUCAGAUUUAUCCGAAACCGCAUCAGCGAAGUCUCCCACGUGGCGGUGAAUCAGCUGCUCCUCCAGCCCCUCCCACCGG